Molecule: long non-coding RNA, 1155 nt
Organism: Harpegnathos saltator (Jerdon's jumping ant)
Lineage: Eukaryota; Metazoa; Arthropoda; Insecta; Hymenoptera; Formicidae
Exons: 6
Source: RefSeq, a predicted model, not a curated record
UUCUAAAAAGAAAAAGAAAAAGUGCCAAGACCACGCUAGCUUCGGCUAGAAUAUCGGAUACGGCGAGAGCUUCGACGCGUCCGUCGAGUUGCAACGUCCGACGCGACAUGUCGUUCGAGUUGACGGGCAACUUGACGGGCAAAAAGAACUACCACUGCUCCCGGCCAUUAUCUCCGAGAAAAGGGAUAGUCUCAGUAAAGUAUCGCGAGGUCACGGUGUAUGGAAUACGUAAACAGAAAGAAAUAUCUACAAUAUUGUGGAAUAUCUAGGAUUAUAACAUCAGGGAUUACAGGUUUGGAUUUUUUCAAUAUUGAGAAAGGUCAAAUAAAUUGGCAGAAACAAAAUAAACACACAGAAUAAGAAAACAAUGGCGUUCAGCAUAAAACACUGCUUACUAAUGGAGGAUUCAUACUGCAUCCGAUGUCCGGAUCGUACGUCCGGACGUACGAUGUCCGACAUCCAAUAGGAGAACAGCUUUUCAAUGGAGAAUUGAAUUCUCCAUUACAAAACUGUUGAAUAAGCGCUUGACUCUGUAGCCAAUAAAAUAAUCCGUGCAGCAUCUAAAGAUGGAUAUAAGGAGGCUCAAAUAUAAGGCCUGACUAUGAAUACGGGUAUAAGCGCUCACUAAUCACUCUGUUCUGCUGAACGCAGCCAGUGAUUGGAAUAUUCUUUCAGAUCUUUAACAAAUCCAGGGGAAUGAACCAAUCAGAAACGAUAAUCACUAAGCGCUUAAUUCUUCAUAGACCCUGAAAUAUUUACCAAUGAGGAGCGAGAUUCAGUGGAAAAUCUAGUAAUGUUGUCCAACUGUUGAGUCUGCUAAAUGCGGCCAUUGAUAUAUGGCUUGCGAUACGGCCAUUAGGUAAAAAUAGUUAAUACCUGGAAGGGACGGAAUGGAAAAUGGCGUGUGGAUAUUGUUUCGGAACAGUUCGGAACCAAAAAUAAAACCAACCAACCAACCUGGAAGGGACGGAGUGGGGAUUUAUUUAUUAAAUGAACUGAAACUGACAUAGAAGGUCAGUCGUAGACGAAACGUUGAUGAGAGAUGAUACGACGUUGGUGUAUAGUGUAGUUAUAAACCAACGAGACGCCACGUGGACGCAGAAUCAUUUAGAUAAGUAAAUUUAAAAAUCGAAAGGGAGAGAGAGAGAGAGGGAG